UUUUUAGGCUUGUUCCUAUUCCUGAUAGUAUUGGGGUUGUACUAGCUGGUUCAUAUUGUGACAUUGUGUGCUCUAUAAGUACCUCUAUGAUCGGGAUUCAUGUUGUCGGAGAUUUACAAAUCGAGAAAGUAGUUAUUCGUAUCGUUGGAGAUUUACAAAUCGAGAAAGUAGUUUGAUAAGUGAGAAGAUCGAUGAGGAAAUCGGGUGGGGGGAAUCUAAGGAGAUUAUUAUUCGGGGUGAUUGUUCUGUGUUGUUUUUGCUUUGUUGAUGUUGUGGCAAGAUCACCAAGAGGUUAUGGACUACCAAGACAAGAUGCGGUGGAGAUCAAGAUGGUAAAAGGUGGAGUUGUGUUGGAUAAUAAGCUUGUGCAAGUCACUUUUUCUAGGCCUGGUGGGGAUGUUAUUGGAAUAAGGUACGGAGGAAUUGACAACUUGCUUGAAACCAAUAACGAGGAAGGUAAUAGAGGGUACUGGGAUGUGGUUUGGAAUAAGCCUGGAGAGGCGAAAAACACACAGUACAAGCUACAGGGAACACGGUUUAAAGUGAUCACGGCGAGGCCGGACCAAGUUGAAAUUUCUUUCACCACCAAGUACAAUGCAAACCUCCACCGGGGCGUGUCAGUUCCGGUGAAUGUUGAUAAAAGGUACAUAAUGCAGCGAGGACGUUCGGGGUUCUAUACAUAUGCCAUCUUCGAGCGUCUUGAAGGGUGGCCAGGAGGGGACAUGGAGACGCUUAGAGUGGCUUACAAGCUUAAACAAGCCAACUUUCGCUACAUGGCACUAUCGGACACUAGGCAAAGGUUCAUGCCCACAGCCGAGGACCGAGCACGCGGUAGGCCACUUGCAUUUAAAGAAGCUGUUCUCUUGAGCAAGGAGGCAAGUAGUCCUGAAUUUGUAGGGGAAGUAGAUGAUAAAUAUCAGUACUCGGCCGAGGACAAAGAUAUCAAGGUGCAUGGUUGGAUCUCUAUGGCACCACCGGUGGGAUUUUGGAUGAUCACACCUAGUGAUGAGUCUCGUAUAGCUGGUCCUUUCAAGCAGGACCUCACCUCCCACGUUGGACCAACUUCAAUGACUGUUUUCUUGUUCUCAUUAUGUUGGGAAAGAAGUUGGGCUGAAUUUUCAAGAAGGUGAGGCAUGGAAGAAGGUUUUCGGACCUGUGUUUGUCUAUCUUAACUCGGCAGCUCCAAGCUCACAUAGUUCUUCAAUGAUCAGUACAUUAUGGAACAAUGCCAAAGAUCAAAUGCUUGAAGAAGUUAAAAGUUGGCCAUACAAUUUCAUUAGUUCUCAAGACUAUCCUUCUUCAAAUCAACGUGGAUCGGUUUCAGGCCAGUUACCAGUACAUGAUCGAUACGUUAAGGGGCUUCACAGGGCGAAUUCGGCUUACGUGGGAUUGGCUGCACCUGGAGAAGUUGGAACAUGGCAGAGGGAAAGCAAGGGAUACCAAUAUUGGACUCAAACCGAUGAAAAGGGCUAUUUUAACAUUGAAAAUGUUAGACCCGGGCACUAUAGUCUGUAUGCAUCUGUUCCAGGUAUAGUUGGAGACUACAAAUAUGAGUUUGACAUUACAAUUGAGCCAGGAAGUAAGAUCGAAUUGGCUAGUAUUACUUACAAACCUCCGAGAAUCGGUCCUACAUUGUGGGAAAUCGGCAUCCCUGAUCGCUCAGCUGCCGAGUUCUACAUACCGGAUCCAUAUCCAACUCUGAUGAACAAGUUGUACAAGGGAAGUGAUUUGGAUAAGUUUAGGCAAUACGGUUUGUGGUCACGUUAUUAUGAGCUUUACCCUCACAAUGACCUCAUCUACAAUGUUGGUGUUAACAAUUACAGUGACGACUGGUUCUAUGCUCAAGUGACUAGAAGUGUAGGAAAUGGCCGGUAUGUAGGAACUACAUGGCAGAUACAGUUUGAACUCGACAAUGUGGUCAAUCCCGGUAACUAUACACUUCAGCUGGCAUUGGCAUCGGCCACUUAUGCAGAGUUGCAAGUUCGAAUUAACCAUUUGAAUGCCGAGCGACCUCUUUUUUCGACAGGGCUAAUAGGUGACGAUAAUGCUAUAGCAAGACAUGGAAUCCAUGGUUUAUACUGGUUCUGGAGUAUUAAUGUUCCGAGCAUUUUACUACGCGAAGGAAGCAACACAAUCUAACUUACUCAGUCGAGAGGGGGCACUUCACCUUUCCAAGGAGUCAUGUAUGACUAUAUAAGACUAGAAGGACCUUCUGAGAAACCAUAAUCAUACUGUAGCUAACCAUACAAUUUUUAACCACAUUUCUUUUUUCUUUUUCACAUAGACUUAGAACUGGGCAAGAAUCAGCUUGUUAAUUCCUCCUUGUUUUAUGACUGAUGACUUGUGUGACUUAUCUGCACCAUAACUAAAUUAUAUUUACUUCAUGUAAAGGGGUUCAGUUCUUGUUAAUUCUUCUCCUUCAUAGGUCUGGUUACAAUGGCGGACCUAGGAUUUUAGGUUAGGGUGGGCUAAAUUUUUUUUUUUAAAGUUCUUUAAUUUUUUUUCUUUUAUAUUUUACAUAUCACAUUUUAGAUUAAAAACAUAUCAAAUAAUCAUGUAGUUAACUGAUCAUUAAGAAAUUAAUAUUAUAACAUUUUAUAAAAAUUCGAUAACAAAAGUUAAAGAUAAAAGAACAUACUUACUCAAAUUGAAUCCUACGCUCUUAAAUAGAAGCAAAAGCUAAUAUCUAAGCACACAAUCACCGCUCUAACAAUACAGUAAACGAGUCGAGUGUAUAAUCCUUAAACCUAACUGGAUGAAAAAACAACAAUCUAAUAACUAUGAAUCAAACGUUGAUACUAUUAC
Molecule: RNA transcript, 2805 nt
Organism: Fragaria vesca subsp. vesca
Lineage: Eukaryota; Viridiplantae; Streptophyta; Magnoliopsida; Rosales; Rosaceae
Gene name: probable rhamnogalacturonate lyase B-like
Exons: 1
Source: RefSeq, a predicted model, not a curated record